RNAcentral lists this small nuclear RNA (167 nucleotides) under Dasypus novemcinctus (nine-banded armadillo). Its description in RNAcentral is "U1 spliceosomal RNA (ENSDNOG00000027491.1)". It matches the Rfam family "U1 spliceosomal RNA". From Rfam's summary of the family: U1 is a small nuclear RNA (snRNA) component of the spliceosome (involved in pre-mRNA splicing). Its 5' end forms complementary base pairs with the 5' splice junction, thus defining the 5' donor site of an intron. Lineage: Eukaryota; Metazoa; Chordata; Mammalia; Cingulata; Dasypodidae. The record is from RNAcentral.
GUGCUUCCCUGGCAGGGGAGGCACCGUGAUCGCGAAGGUGGCUUUCCUGGGGCGAGGCUUAUCCACUGCACUCUGGAUGUGCUGACCCCUGAGGUUUCCCCAAAUGUGGGAAACUCGACCGCAGAGUUUGUGGUAGUAGCGGGAGACUGUGUCUGUGUGCUCCCCUA